UUUCCGUUGGUGAACCAGCGGAGGGAUCAUUACUGAGUUAUCUAACUCCCAAUCCCAUGUGACAUUACCAUUUGUUGCAUCGGCAGAGCCUACCCGGUAACUGUUCGGAGAAGCUACCCUGUAGCUACCCUGUAACGGCCUACCCUGUAACGCACUGCCGGUGGACUUUUAAACUCUUGUUAUUUUAUAGUAAUCUGAGCGUCUUAUUUUAAUAAGUCAAAACUUUCAACAACGGAUCUCUUGGUUCUGGCAUCGAUGAAGAACGCAGC
This 269-nucleotide unclassified non-coding RNA is filed under the name uncultured fungus. RNAcentral describes it as "sequence contains ITS1, 5.8S rRNA gene". The stretch from base 221 to 269 matches the Rfam family "5.8S ribosomal RNA", at positions 1 to 49 of the family's 154-position model. Lineage: Eukaryota; Fungi. The record is from RNAcentral.